Molecule: ribosomal RNA, 403 nt
Filed under: uncultured bacterium
Lineage: Bacteria
Description: partial 16S ribosomal RNA
Rfam family: Bacterial small subunit ribosomal RNA
Source: RNAcentral
AUUGAACGCUGGCGGCAGGCCUAACACAUGCAAGUCGAGCGAGCGGCGGACGGGUGAGUAAUGUAUGGGGACUGCCCGAUAGAGGGGGAUAACUCCUGGAAACGGUAGCUAAUACCGCAUACUAUCGGAUAACCCAUAUGGGAUUAGCUAGUAGGUGAGGGAAUGGCUCAACUAGGCGACGAUCCCUAGCUGGUCUGAGAGGCUGAUCAGCCACACUGGGACUGAGACACGGCCCAGAAGCCUACGGAGGGAGCAGUGGGGAAUAUUGCACAAUGGGCGCAAGCCGUAUGCAGCCAUGACGCGUGUAGGAAGAAGGCCCUAGGGUUGUAAAGUACUUUCAGUCGGGAGGCGUUACCGACAGAAGAAGCACCGGCUAACUCCGUGCCAGCAGCCGCGGUAAUUC